CCUACGGGAGGCAGCAGUGGGGAAUAUUGGACAAUGGGCGAAAGCCUGAUCCAGCAAUGCCGCGUGAGUGAUGAAGGCCUUAGGGUUGUAAAGCUCUUUUACCAGGGAUGAUAAUGACAGUACCUGGAGAAUAAGCUCCGGCUAACUCCGUGCCAGCAGCCGCGGUAAUACGGAGGGAGCUAGCGUUGUUCGGAAUUACUGGGCGUAAAGCGUACGUAGGCGGUUAUUCAAGUCAGAGGUGAAAGCCUGGAGCUCAACUCCAGAACUGCCUUUGAAACUAGAUAGCUAGAAUCUUGGAGAGGUGAGUGGAAUUCCGAGUGUAGAGGUGAAAUUCGUAGAUAUUCGGAAGAACACCAGUGGCGAAGGCGACUCACUGGACAAGUAUUGACGCUGAGGUACGAAAGCGUGGGGAGCAAACAGGAUUACGGAUACCCUGGUAGUCCACGCCGUAAACGAUGAUAACCUAGCUGUUCGGGCUCUACGAGCUUGAGUGGCGCAGCUUAACGCAUUAAGUUAUCCGCCUGGGGAUACGGUCGCAAGUAAAACUCAAAGGAAUUGACGGNNGAG
RNAcentral lists this ribosomal RNA (567 nucleotides) under uncultured bacterium. RNAcentral describes it as "bacterial SSU rRNA". It matches the Rfam family "Bacterial small subunit ribosomal RNA", at positions 338 to 921 of the family's 1533-position model. The record is from RNAcentral.